UACGGAGGGUGCGAGCGUUAAUCGGAAUUACUGGGCGUAAAGCGCACGUAGGCGGUUGGGUAAGUCGGAUGUGAAAGCCCUGGGCUUAACCUGGGAACUGCAUUCGAUACUGCCCGGCUAGAGUAUGGGAGAGGGAAGCGGAAUUUCCGGUGUAGCGGUGAAAUGCGUAGAUAUCGGAAGGAACACCAAUGGCGAAGGCAGCUUCCUGGCCCAAUACUGACGCUCAGGUGCGAAAGCGUGGGGAUCAAACAGG
Molecule: ribosomal RNA, 253 nt
Filed under: uncultured bacterium
Lineage: Bacteria
Also listed under: 1 other name
Description: partial 16S ribosomal RNA
Rfam family: Bacterial small subunit ribosomal RNA
Source: RNAcentral